GUCUCAGUUCGGAUUGUAGGCUGAAACUACGCCUACAUGAAGCUGGAGUUGCUAGUAAUCGCGAAUCAGCAUGUCGCGGUGAAUACGUUCCCGGGCCUUGUACACACCGCCCGUCACACCAUGAGAGUUGGCAAUACCCAACGUACGUGAUCUAACCCGCAAGGGAGGAAGCGUCCUAAGGUAGGGUCAGCGAUUGGGGUGAAGUCGUAACAAGGUACC
Molecule: ribosomal RNA, 219 nt
Filed under: uncultured bacterium
Lineage: Bacteria
Description: partial 16S ribosomal RNA
Rfam family: Bacterial small subunit ribosomal RNA
Source: RNAcentral